RNAcentral lists this transfer RNA (72 nucleotides) under Bos taurus (domestic cattle). It matches the Rfam family "tRNA". From Rfam's summary of the family: Transfer RNA (tRNA) molecules are approximately 80 nucleotides in length. Lineage: Eukaryota; Metazoa; Chordata; Mammalia; Artiodactyla; Bovidae. The record is from Rfam by way of RNAcentral. RNAcentral also lists the same sequence under 4 other names.
UCCCUGGUGGCUCAGAUGGUAAAGCAUCUGCCUGCAAUGUGGGAGACUCAGGUUCAAUCCCUGGGUUGGGAA